RNAcentral lists this ribosomal RNA (172 nucleotides) under Phaeocystis globosa. Its description in RNAcentral is "5.8S ribosomal RNA". It matches the Rfam family "5.8S ribosomal RNA". From Rfam's summary of the family: 5.8S ribosomal RNA (5.8S rRNA) is a component of the large subunit of the eukaryotic ribosome. It is transcribed by RNA polymerase I as part of the 45S precursor that also contains 18S and 28S rRNA. RNAcentral also lists the same sequence under 1 other name. The record is from RNAcentral. Lineage: Eukaryota; Haptophyta; Phaeocystales; Phaeocystaceae.
ACAAACCUAACCACAACUCCUGUCGAAGGAUAUCUUGGCUCCCGCAACGAUGAAGAACGCAGCGAAAUGCGAUACGUAAUGUGAAUUGCAGAAUUCAGUGAAUCAUCGAGACUUUGAACGCACAUGGCAUUUCCAAGUUUCGCUUGGAAGUAUGUUCCUUCGAGUGGAGUUC